UACAGAGGGUGCGAGCGUUAUUCGGAAUUACUGGGCGUAAAGCGCGCGUAGGCGGCUUUGCAAGUCGGGCGUGAAAUCCCCAGGCUUAACCUGGGAACUGCAUUCGAGACUGCAUUGCUAGAGUAUGGGAGAGGGAAGUGGAAUUUCCGGUGUAGCGGUGAAAUGCGUAGAUAUCGGAAGGAACAUCAGUGGCGAAAGCGGCUUCCUGGACCAGUACCGACGUUCAGGCACGAAAGCGUGGGGAGCAAACAGG
Molecule: ribosomal RNA, 253 nt
Filed under: uncultured bacterium
Lineage: Bacteria
Description: partial 16S ribosomal RNA
Rfam family: Bacterial small subunit ribosomal RNA
Source: RNAcentral